This 345-nucleotide long non-coding RNA is filed under the name Homo sapiens (human). RNAcentral's name for it is "LHRI_LNC136.1". Lineage: Eukaryota; Metazoa; Chordata; Mammalia; Primates; Hominidae. The record is from RNAcentral.
GCUCAAUCUAGUGUCUGUUUCUUCAGCUCUCCUGGUAAUUUUGAUGACAGGCCAGGACACUCUGGAUGCCAUCCUCAGUGUGUCUAGGCUGUGACUCUGACUUUCUGGGCCAGGACCAGGGCCUUACAGUGCAGGAGAAAGACAGAGAUGUGGAAGCUUCAUGGGGAGGCUUUAAAAACAGGUGAGCCAAGAUUUGGAGGAACCACUGGGAUGCUCACUCGUGGCCAUGACAUCAGCAUUCCAGGAGGGCAGCUCCACAGAUAAGUCACUCCUGAUACUGCUGGCAGCUCACCAUCAGGAACAAUGCACUGAAAUGCAUACGGCCUUUGUAAUGCGCAUUUACAU